GUGAGGAAUUUUCCGCAAUGGGCGAAAGCCUGACGGAGCAAUGCCGCGUGAAGGAUGAAGGCCUAUGGGUUGUAAACUUCUUUUCUCAGAAAAGAAUUAUGACGGUAUCUGAGGAAUAAGCAUCGGCUAACUCUGUGCCAGCAGCCGCGGUAAGACAGAGGAUGCAAGCGUUAUCCGGAAUGAUUGGGCGUAAAGCGUCUGUAGGUUGUUUAAAAAGUAUUCUGUCAAAGAUUAGGGCUUAACCCUAGAUAGGCAGAAUAAACUUUUAAGCUAGAGUUUGGUAGAGGCAGAAGGAAUUCCCGGUGGAGCGGUGAAAUGCGUAGAUAUCGGGAGGAACACCAAAGGCGAAGGCACUCUGCUGGGCCAAUACUAACACUGAGAGACGAAAGCGAGGGGAGCAAAUGGGAUUAGAUACCCCUGUAGUCC
This 426-nucleotide ribosomal RNA is filed under the name uncultured bacterium. RNAcentral describes it as "partial 16S ribosomal RNA". It matches the Rfam family "Bacterial small subunit ribosomal RNA", at positions 354 to 796 of the family's 1533-position model. The record is from RNAcentral.